Molecule: ribosomal RNA, 333 nt
Filed under: uncultured Desulfovibrio sp.
Lineage: Bacteria; Pseudomonadati; Thermodesulfobacteriota; Desulfovibrionia; Desulfovibrionales; Desulfovibrionaceae
Description: bacterial SSU rRNA
Rfam family: Bacterial small subunit ribosomal RNA
Source: RNAcentral
UCGUCAGCUCGUGCCGUUGAGGUGUUGGGUUAAGUCCCGCAACGAGCGCAACCCUACUUGCCCAGUUGCUACCAGGUAAUGCUGGGCACUCUGGUGAGACUGCCCCGGUUAACGGGGAGGAAGGUGGGGACGACGUCAAGUCAUCAUGGCCCUUACGCCUAGGGCUACACACGUACUACAAUGGCGCAUACAAAGGGCAGCGAUACCGCGAGGUGGAGCCAAUCCCAAAAAGUGCGUCCCAGUCCGGAUUGCAGUCUGCAACUCGACUGCAUGAAGUUGGAAUCGCUAGUAAUUCGAGAUCAGCAUGCUCGGGUGAAUGCGUUCCCGGGCCUC